This is a long non-coding RNA of Monodelphis domestica (gray short-tailed opossum), 1981 nucleotides long. RefSeq lists it as uncharacterized. Lineage: Eukaryota; Metazoa; Chordata; Mammalia; Didelphimorphia; Didelphidae. The record is from RefSeq and is a predicted model, not a curated record.
ACCUACAGGCAGGAAAGGGAAGAGGAAGCAUGGGUAGUGAGAGAGAGGGUCAGAAGUCAAUGCUACACAGGAGGCUUUCUAUAUAUGGCAUGGGGACACAGAGGGUAGGUACCACAAUGAGAAAAAAAAAGUAUGGGUAGCUGGGCUCCUUUUGGCCAGAUGUCAUCUCCUCUCUAGGCACCUUACCUUGUUUGCUUGUUUUCUCCUCCUUCUCUGCCUGCCCAAGACUCCUGCUGGCUCUUGGACUCUCUCAGCUGGCAUUGUCCUAAGUGGUGCCAAGGGCCUAGGGUAGACUAAAAAUGCCUUGGAGAGAUAGAGCUCAUCUAACAAAGUUUCUAAGUGGUUGUUUUGGAAUGGUGAACUAUUGGAAUUACUUAAGAAAUCUUGAUUAAGUGGAAGAAGACUGAAUUUGGAGCCAGAAGAUUCUUGGUUCAAAUCUUUGCUCUGCUACCAACUACAGGGAUGGCUGAGCAAAUGCAAAACACUUAAUUUCUCUGGGCCUCAAUAUUUGUAAAAUAAGGAGACUGAACUAAAUGACUUCUGUGGUCUAUUCCAGUUCUAAAUCUAUGAAGAAAUGAAAGUCUCCUCCCUGCCAAUUGGUUUGUAAAAGGUAACUCGGGAUGAUGGAUAUGUACUGAAUCAGGCCCAGAAAUAGGGCCUGAAGUCUACUAUUGAUGUGACUAAGCUAGAAAAGGCAUUUUUAGUCUACCCUAGGCCCUAGCACCACUUAGGACAAUGCCAACUGAGAGAGUCCUGGGCAGGGGAGGAAGCCAAAAAAUCUUAUUUUCAAUAAUCCUUGUCUAUGUUUCCAAAACAGUGAGCUCUAACCUUAGUCAGUGGUUAGGCUGUCUUUAUCUCCCUCCCUUUUCCCAAUGAGCUGUCAGGGCUAGGGUGGCUCAAACACUGAUUCACUGUGAUGGCAUGCCAAAUUCAAUCCUGCAUCUGGGAGAUUAUCUGAGUGGUGAGGCCUGUCAGACCUGGGAAGGGAGGUGACUUUCUAGUUGAGCGGCUAGAAGGGUACUAGAUAAAGGACUAGGACCACAUGCUGGGUCACACAGACACCUACUCAAAAGUACCUAGUAGCCUGGGUCCUACCUGCAGCCCUUAAUGGGUCAUUACAGAGACAGGGACAGAGACAGAGACUGCACCAGGCAGGGGAUGAGAAGCAACUGAUCAAGGCCACAGUGGGAGGCUGUGCUCUUGACAUCUAGAACAAGGGAGUCCGUCUUAUGCAGGAAAGAAGUCUUCCAACACAAGAAUCUUGGGAUCUUUAGAUAAUGGACUAAAUUUUCCUUUAUCCCCUACUGUGACAGACAGCUCAAGGGGACUGAGAAGCAUCAAGCAUCCAAAGUGCCUGUUCUCAGGGAUUCAAUCAACUUUCAUCCUUUGAGGAGUUCACAAUAAGAAAGGUGAAAAGUCCCUUCUUAAUUGAAGGUGGUCGGGGGGGGUAGGAUUUGUGCAAGGAAGGCUAGCUCCCACCACCAAAGCAACUAGGGUGAAGUCUGAUCUUUCCAGACUGUUUCAUUAUCUUGGAUGAUUUCUCAACUGUAAUAUAUUACUGCUAUCUUCAAAUUCCAAAAGAGCAGGGUAUUUGGCUGAGUUUGGGUGGUCUGAUGGGUGAUUCAGGGCAGAGAUGAGGAAAUUUCAGGGAGGAGAAGCCAAUACCAUCUAGGGGAGAAAAGGUAAAGGGCAGAAAGACCUAAGAGUGGAGCAGGAUGUCUUCUGUUAGGAGCAGGAGAAGUGAAAAAAGAGCAGAGGAACCCCUACCUUUCAUUAGGUAAGCAUGCCUCAGCUCUGGGAAUCAGAGACAUAGAACCAGAUGAUUACCCCCAUAGGGAAGGAAACAUUUAUUCCUGGAACAAAUUUAUGGCUCAGCACGGCUGUCCUACGAAAUCCUCCUCAAGCACAGAGAAACCCUGACAAAUUGGUAGCCGAUUGAUUUAUCCCCAUUAUCAGUGCUAGGAUGUAAGUCAAACCAUUG